GGCUGGCUUGCAGAAAGAAAGGAAAUGUCACCAGAACCAGGACAAUGACCUGGAUCUCAGCAAUGCAAAGUGACAACCAAAAGGUUACUCUCAUUAUUCCCCUCCUUUUCUUUCUGUUUGCAGGCUUCAUCUUCUUGGACUUCUCCACAGGGCCAGGAUCAUGAUCCAGAAGGACAGCCUCAUUUCAGCCAGUUCCUGCCAACCAGUCCUGGAGUGAUUUGGAAAUACAUUGUUGUUUGGACCUAACAGGCAGACUCACGAGAACAAGAACACGGUCUGGAAGUAUGUUCCUGAUGCUGGAAUAGAGAGGAUUUCUGAUAACCUGGAAUAUUUGCAAGAGCUCAGCAACACUCCAGGAAUUUGUGAAUCCUUCCAUGUGUCGGUGUGCUUAAGAUUCCUUUUCACAAAAGAUGAACCUCAAGCAACUUAUAAGCCCAUGAACAUGGACAAGAAAUGGGAAUUUGGAUUAACACCUCUGAUGGAGUCACACCAGCAAUUGGCAAGGUA
Molecule: long non-coding RNA, 507 nt
Filed under: Felis catus (domestic cat)
Lineage: Eukaryota; Metazoa; Chordata; Mammalia; Carnivora; Felidae
Description: lncRNA (ENSFCAG00000041904.2)
Source: RNAcentral